Tachysurus vachellii is the source of this 368-nucleotide long non-coding RNA. RefSeq lists it as uncharacterized. The transcript is spliced from 3 exons. The record is from RefSeq and is a predicted model, not a curated record. Lineage: Eukaryota; Metazoa; Chordata; Actinopteri; Siluriformes; Bagridae.
GCUAUAAAAAUGUGUUCCUUUGUCAGCCUUCUUCUCUUCACACUGCUUUUAGAGCACAAAGUGUGAUGAGCAGGAAGAGGAACGGCUUGAGCCGCUACAGACACAGUACCAAAUUCACAGAGAAGCAGGACGUAAGAAACCCUUACAUCUGAUUCAACAUCAGAACAAAUCAACAUGAGCUGCUUUUUUUAUUUUUAUUCUCAUCAUUUCCGUUGAUGUCGUUCAGUCACAGAGGUACUUUAGUCUUAAACCUGGAUCAUCCUUCACCAUCCCAUGUCAUUAUAAUAGUGAAUUAUACCACUAACCAACCACUAACCAACCACUAAACAAGACAAUGCAUACACUGUUUGUGAAUUUUGUCCCAAGCA